Molecule: ribosomal RNA, 415 nt
Filed under: Helicobacter pylori
Lineage: Bacteria; Pseudomonadati; Campylobacterota; Epsilonproteobacteria; Campylobacterales; Helicobacteraceae
Description: bacterial LSU rRNA
Rfam family: Bacterial large subunit ribosomal RNA
Source: RNAcentral
UCCCUCCCGACUGUUUACCAAAAACACAGCACUUUGCCAACUCGUAAGAGGAAGUAUAAGGUGUGACGCCUGCCCGGUGCUCGAAGGUUAAGAGGAUGCGUCAGUCGCAAGAUGAAGCGUUGAAUUGAAGCCCGAGUAAACGGCGGCCGUAACUAUAACGGUCCUAAGGUAGCGAAAUUCCUUGUCGGUUAAAUACCGACCUGCAUGAAUGGCGUAACGAGAUGGGAGCUGUCUCAACCAGAGAUUCAGUGAAAUUGUAGUGGAGGUGAAAAUUCCUCCUACCCGCGGCAAGACGAAAAGACCCCGUGGACCUUUACUACAACUUAGCACUGCUAAUGGGAAUAUCAUGCGCAGGAUAGGUGGGAGGCUUUGAAGUAAGGGCUUUGGCUCUUAUGGAGUCAUCCUUGAGAUACCA